UGGCAGAGCUGAAGUCAAAAAUGAGAGAGAGGAACUUAAAGUUAACUCUUUAGUCUGCGGUAGAAGGUACUCAACAACAACAGAAACUAGUUCCAGCUUUCUUAGGGUUUCAGAGGAGAACCAGGGCUCUGCUGGGAAGGCCUGGAUGAGAACACCAAGAGAAGCCUGGAAGUGAGCGCCUGUCAGGGCCCUGUGACUCUGUCGGGCCAGGACCAGGAGUGGGUCCAGACCUCCCUACUUGCCUCUGUGCCUCUUCUGGUUGAAAAAGAUGAAGCCAAGAGGAAGGAAGUGCGGUGUCCUCAUGGAUGUGAGCACAUUCCGUCCUCCGUGCUCAGAUUCAGAGACCUAGAGCUGGUCUGUGGCCAGGAAAUCGGGAUUCCUGAAUGUGCUGGAUGUUUUUCUUGCCCCUCCGGAUGUACUUUCCACCCUUCUCGCCUGCCCUAUGCCCUGGCAGGCUGGCCUCUGUGGACCACAGUCAAAGGCUCCCUUGUGCCGUGGCCUGGCGUUGGGUUCAGCCUAUAGGUGACACUGGCAGGUGAAUGAGAUCCAGGACCCUAAUUGACACGCUGAGUUUUCUUUACUUCAAUUUUCCUCUCCUUGGACCCUGGAGUCAACCUCAUUCACUCUACCAACAUGGUAUCUGUAAUAUGCUGGUUAUGAGCUCAGCACCAGCGAUGCAGAGACGAGAGACGGAGGUCACAGUCAAUGACCAUCCCAGAUGAUGUGGGUUACGCUGGAGCCCUGUCUCCUCUGACCUCCUGCCUCGCUCUCAGGAGGACUCUGUGACUACACCAAGAUGAUCCAGGACAAUCCUCCAUCUCAAGAAUUUGAAAACUUGUGAAGAGUGAGUAUGCUUGUAUUCAUGGCAAUAUAGUUAUUUGCAUAAGUUCAAGAAGAAUCUGUUCUACUUAUACAAGGAAACAAUUGGAAACACUGAUUACAUUAUCAAGGUUUUGACUGGAACGUCAUAUCUAAAAACAUGCAGACUCAGAUAUGACCAGAUAGCUUUUGAGGAACAAAGAUCGGACUUUAUGGAAUAAAGCCAUUUGGAAAUAUUGGCCUGUUACCUUGUUUACAGGGUGCCCAGCAACCUUACCAGUACUAAAACCACCAUUUUUGCUGAAGCCCUGCCAACUGAAGCUGGACAACUUGAUAUAAACCUAAGAGAGCACCAUGCUAGCCCAUGUUUGGACACUCUUCAUGCCUGUUGCUUUGUAAGCCACUCAAAAGGUUCACCUGAAUGCCUGAUGACAUCAUUGGAGACAUUUUAAACCUCAGGGGAUGCUUCAACGCUGACAUCUAGAGAUUGUCUUAACUGACCAUCCCCUGGACUCAAAAUUGGCUUAUAAUUUUCUCCAACCAUUAACCUUUGUUCUUCUAGAAAUGCUUCUCAUUAAAUAUCUGGUUACUUGUUUACACAAUGUAGGCCUAACUUUGGGAGACCCUUUCUAAGUUCUAGAGAUGACCCAAAAGACCUGGAGGGAACUCAAAUUAAAGAGCUAAACACUGUGAGAUGUGUCUCGACACCAUCUUUGUUGUAGAAACUGGGUCCUAUUGAAAUCCUGGAUUUCAUCCCUGCUGGAUGGGAC
This is a long non-coding RNA of Equus asinus (donkey), 1589 nucleotides long. The record is from Ensembl. NCBI's taxonomy places the organism in Eukaryota, Metazoa, Chordata, Mammalia, Perissodactyla, Equidae.